AUCCAUGACAGGUGGCCAUCCAACUUCUUCUUAAAACCCCCAAUGAAGGUCCACCCCUUCUGAGAGAGUUCCUUUUCACAGUCAGCUCUUACUAUCAGAGAGAAAAUAUAAAAAAGACUUUGGAGAAGACUUCCGGUGUGAUGGCCUAUGGCGUUUGGCUGCUUUCCCAGGACACCGGACCCUAGUCGUGCAAUUAAACAAGGUGAAUCUGGGGGUAAUUAUCCCUGUUGAACCCUGCAGGGAUGGGGCGCACAUGCCAUCCGAUAUCUGCUGCUCGCUACAGUGGAGGCAGGGGCGCUGGGUGUUUAGCAUUGCACGAAUUGGAAAAUCUCCAAUGCCAACGCCAUGAGCGGGAGCAUUCCUGUUUUUCAGCAAAGAUUUGAAUUUGGACUUUGAAAGGACUUUUGUCGCUCUGCUACAGAAGAUGUGAAGUGAGCGUCUCAUCUUUGCUUAUACUUGCUACUGUUGGGCCAACGCCCUCCUCAUUUGUCCGAAUGGUGAGGAACUUCGCCCGUAGUAGCAGAGUACAGCAGAAGCAGACUCUGGCUGGAAAGCAGCAUCGAGAAGAUAAGAAGGCAACAGAGCGACAGAGCUGACUCACGCAGCCGUAUCCUUCAGCAAAAGCCAGAUGCAAGGACCAGAGGGGAGGAGGAGGGAGAUAUAGAAAUCGCUCCCGUUCUCACACAACAAUACAUUAGGUAAUUAGGCAAUUAAAGGCACAGUGUCACACUGUGCAAUGAAAGAAUGAAACACUGCAGUACUGCCAGCUACUUCAUGAUUUGGCAAGCCUCGU
Molecule: non-coding RNA, 793 nt
Organism: Podarcis lilfordi (Lilford's wall lizard)
Lineage: Eukaryota; Metazoa; Chordata; Lepidosauria; Squamata; Lacertidae
Source: the annotation of a GenBank genome assembly